RNAcentral lists this transfer RNA (71 nucleotides) under Bacteroides stercoris. It matches the Rfam family "tRNA". From Rfam's summary of the family: Transfer RNA (tRNA) molecules are approximately 80 nucleotides in length. Their secondary structure includes four short double-helical elements and three loops (D, anti-codon, and T loops). The record is from Rfam by way of RNAcentral. Lineage: Bacteria; Pseudomonadati; Bacteroidota; Bacteroidia; Bacteroidales; Bacteroidaceae.
GGUUCAUUAGCCAAGUGGUAAGGCAAUGGUCUGCAAAACCAUGAACGCAGGUUCGAUUCCUGCGUGAACCU